This 392-nucleotide ribosomal RNA is filed under the name uncultured bacterium. Its description in RNAcentral is "bacterial SSU rRNA". It matches the Rfam family "Bacterial small subunit ribosomal RNA", at positions 447 to 846 of the family's 1533-position model. The record is from RNAcentral.
AAACCCCACUACGUGUAGUCGUCUCAUAGUAUGGUGAGAAUAAGCAUCGGCUAACUCCGCGCCAGCAGACGCGGUAAGGCGAAGGAUGCAAUUGUUAUCCGGAUUCAGUGGGUUUCAAGGGAGCGUUGUUGUAAUGCUAAGUCAGUGGUUUAAUCUCCGAACUUAACUCGGAAAUUGCCAUUGACGAGUUGGUCUUGAGAAUAGUCGCCGUUGACGGAAUAUGUCAUGUGAAAUGAAAUACAUAGAGAUGUCACAGAGCACCGAAGCGAAGGCCGUUGACGAAACUAUAAGUGACAGUGAGGCUGGAAAGGAGGGGAUCAAACAGGAUUAGAUGCCCUGGUCUCCGCACUGAAAGGGAUGAUUACUCGCUGCUAGAGGGCGACUUCUAGUGG